AAAUUGAAGAGUUUGAUCAUGGCUCAGAUUGAACGCUGGCGGCAGGCCUAACACAUGCAAGUCGAGCGGUAGCACAGAGAGCUUGCUCUCGGGUGACGAGCGGCGGACGGGUGAGUAAUGUCUGGGAAACUGCCUGAUGGAGGGGGAUAACUACUGGAAACGGUAGCUAAUACCGCAUAAUGUCGCAAGACCAAAGUGGGGGACCUUCGGGCCUCAUGCCAUCAGAUGUGCCCAGAUGGGAUUAGCUAGUAGGUGGGGUAACGGCUCACCUAGGCGACGAUCCCUAGCUGGUCUGAGAGGAUGACCAGCCACACUGGAACUGAGACACGGUCCAGACUCCUACGGGAGGCAGCAGUGGGGAAUAUUGCACAAUGGGCGCAAGCCUGAUGCAGCCAUGCCGCGUGUGUGAAGAAGGCCUUCGGGUUGUAAAGCACUUUCAGCGGGGAGGAAGGCGAUAAGGUUAAUAACCUUGUCGAUUGACGUUACCCGCAGAAGAAGCACCGGCUAACUCCGUGCCAGCAGCCGCGGUAAUACGGAGGGUGCAAGCGUUAAUCGGAAUUACUGGGCGUAAAGCGCACGCAGGCGGUCUGUCAAGUCGGAUGUGAAAUCCCCGGGCUCAACCUGGGAACUGCAUUCGAAACUGGCAGGCUAGAGUCUUGUAGAGGGGGGGUAGAAUUCCAGGUGUAGCGGUGAAAUGCGUAGAGAUCUGGAGGAAUACCGGUGGCGAAGGCGGCCCCCUGGACAAAGACUGACGCUCAGGUGCGAAAGCGUGGGGAGCAAACAGGAUUAGAUACCCUGGUAGUCCACGCCGUAAACGAUGUCGAUUUGGAGGUUGUGCCCUUGAGGCGUGGCUUCCGGAGCUAACGCGUUAAAUCGACCGCCUGGGGAGUACGGCCGCAAGGUUAAAACUCAAAUGAAUUGACGGGGGCCCGCACAAGCGGUGGAGCAUGUGGUUUAAUUCGAUGCAACGCGAAGAACCUUACCUGGUCUUGACAUCCACAGAACUUUCCAGAGAUGGAUUGGUGCCUUCGGGAACUGUGAGACAGGUGCUGCAUGGCUGUCGUCAGCUCGUGUUGUGAAAUGUUGGGUUAAGUCCCGCAACGAGCGCAACCCUUAUCCUUUGUUGCCAGCGGUUAGGCCGGGAACUCAAAGGAGACUGCCAGUGAUAAACUGGAGGAAGGUGGGGAUGACGUCAAGUCAUCAUGGCCCUUACGACCAGGGCUACACACGUGCUACAAUGGCAUAUACAAAGAGAAGCGACCUCGCGAGAGCAAGCGGACCUCAUAAAGUAUGUCGUAGUCCGGAUUGGAGUCUGCAACUCGACUCCAUGAAGUCGGAAUCGCUAGUAAUCGUAGAUCAGAAUGCUACGGUGAAUACGUUCCCGGGCCUUGUACACACCGCCCGUCACACCAUGGGAGUGGGUUGCAAAAGAAGUAGGUAGCUUAACCUUCGGGAGGGCGCUUACCACUUUGUGAUUCAUGACUGGGGUGAAGUCGUAACAAGGUAACCGUAGGGGAACCUGCGGUUGGAUCACCUCCUUACCUUAAAGAA
Molecule: ribosomal RNA, 1551 nt
Filed under: Klebsiella pneumoniae
Lineage: Bacteria; Pseudomonadati; Pseudomonadota; Gammaproteobacteria; Enterobacterales; Enterobacteriaceae
Description: bacterial SSU rRNA
Rfam family: Bacterial small subunit ribosomal RNA
Source: RNAcentral